GACGAACGCUGGCGGCGUGCUUAACACAUGCAAGUCGAACGGAAAGGCCAUGCUUUUGUGGGGUGCUCGAGUGGCGAACGGGUGAGUAACACGUGAGUAACCUGCCCUUGACUUUGGGAUAACUUCAGGAAACUGGGGCUAAUACCGGAUAGGAGCUCCUGCUGCAUGGUGGGGGUUGGAAAGUUUCGGCGGUUGGGGAUGGACUCGCGGCUUAUCAGCUUGUUGGUGGGGUAGUGGCUUACCAAGGCUUUGACGGGUAGCCGGCCUGAGAGGGUGACCGGCCACAUUGGGACUGAGAUACGGCCCAGACUCCUACGGGAGGCAGCAGUGGGGAAUAUUGCACAAUGGGCGGAAGCCUGAUGCAGCAACGCCGCGUGCGGGAUGACGGCCUUCGGGUUGUAAACCGCUUUCGCCUGUGACGAAGCGUGAGUGGCGGUAAUGGGUAAAGAAGCACCGGCUAACUACGUG
Molecule: ribosomal RNA, 468 nt
Filed under: uncultured bacterium
Lineage: Bacteria
Description: partial 16S ribosomal RNA
Rfam family: Bacterial small subunit ribosomal RNA
Source: RNAcentral